CAGCAGCAGCCAGGUAAUACGUAGGUGGCAAGCGUUGUCCGGAUUUAUUGGGCGUAAAGCGAGCGCAGGCGGUCAAUUAAGUCUGAUGUGAAAGCCCCCGGCUCAACCGGGGAGGGUCAUUGGAAACUGGUUGACUUGAGUGCAGAAGAGGAGAGUGGAAUUCCAUGUGUAGCGGUGAAAUGCGUAGAUAUAUGGAGGAACACCAGUGGCGAAGGCGACUCUCUGGUCUGUAACUGACGCUGAGGCUCGAAAGCGUGGGUAGCAAACAGGAUUAGAUACCCGUGUAGUCCCUGUCUCUUAUACA
RNAcentral lists this ribosomal RNA (304 nucleotides) under uncultured bacterium. RNAcentral's name for it is "partial 16S ribosomal RNA". It matches the Rfam family "Bacterial small subunit ribosomal RNA", at positions 509 to 808 of the family's 1533-position model. The record is from RNAcentral.